Molecule: long non-coding RNA, 4118 nt
Organism: Equus asinus (donkey)
Lineage: Eukaryota; Metazoa; Chordata; Mammalia; Perissodactyla; Equidae
Source: Ensembl
GCAAAAGAGGCUUCAAAACAAAACAGAACAAUGAGAUAGAAUGACCGGACGUGGGAUGGGGGAACUAUUUUAGAUUUGGUGGCUUCUGAAGAGAGGACAUUUAAGCUGCUAUAUGAACACCAAGGAACCAACCUUCUGAAGAUCUGUGGUUAUGUCCCUGGCAGAGGGAACACUAAGAGUUGUACACUCAAAGCAAAUCUGUGUGGGGAUGAAGAGUCAGGAUCCAAUGGCCAUCUGUUUUACCAACAGGAGAAAAGGAGCUCCCACACUGGUAGAGUAUUCCCAGCAUGGUUUGACAAUGGGAUUUAAUCAGGCUUCAAGGCAAAACUUCAAAGGUUUGAGUGACAUCAGCAUCAUGGCGGAGUGAGCUGUUGCCUGAUAUUCUCCUGUCUGGUAUACAAAAGAGGAUAUUUAGAUACUAACAGAGGACAUUCACACAGCACAAAAGAUGUCUCAGAGAUGAAAGCAGCCACAUGUCUGAAGGUGGAGGUACUGGAUCCCUUGGAGGAAAGGGAAGGAGCCCCCCGGUACAUAGUUGUAUAUUCUUCGAUGUGGGUCCUUCUACUUGUGGCAUGUGGGACGCUGCCUCAACGUGGUCUGAUGAGCAGUGUCAUGUCCGCGCCCAGGAUUUGAACCAACGAAACACGGGGCCGCCUGCAGCGGAGCGCGUGAACCUAACCGCUCGGCCACGGGGCCAGCCCCAAAAUGCAACUGAUUUUUGUUUUAUAUUCCUAACUACUUUGGAGCCAGCAGAUAUGGAUUCAGAAGUGACACGGGAAUAAAAAAUCUCACAACCUAGUGGAGUUAUUGUCAUAAAUGGCAACAAGACAGAUGCUUUAAUGAAGGGUAGAAUUGGAUUAUUUCAAUAAAUUGAGGAUUCCUAGUCUCAUUUGCGGCACCAUGAGUGGAAAUGGACUCUUUGGAGAGAUCUUCUGUUACCUGGCAAAACACUUGUGCGGAAGCAGUUCCUGGUACGUCCCUGGAUUUCUAGGUAGGAUGAUGAUGGGAAACCUGCACAGGGCCUGGGCCCCCAAGGAGGGAAGAAAACAAAAUCUGUGUGUGAAGAUGGGAAAGCCAGUGAGACAGUUGUGGAAAUGUCCAGGGGACAGGAUCACUAACAUCAAGACUCAGCUGGAGCAAGUCCUUUAUCUUAAUGAGCCCUGGAAGAGGAUUUAGCUGUUCCUAUCUGGAUCUAGGAGCUACAGUGUUAACCAUCCAAGAACCGAAUGGAUACACAGCUUGGCCUUUACUUCUGGAUCCCAGAAGCUUUUUGUUUAGGUUUAUUGUUUUGAAUAAUAAUCCUGGAUCUUGUCACUGAAAUUUUAGAUUGUGAAGAUAUUUUAGAGAUUAACACAGAAGUAUAGAGAUUGUGUGAUGGAAUCCAAUAGGCCCAGUUUUAUUUCUGGUUCCAGUUCUGACUCCUUGGGCUAGUUAGUUAAUCUCUCUGAGCCUCAGUUUCCCCAGUUUCUACCUCACAGUGCUGUUGGGGAGAUCAAUGAAAUAAUGCAUGUUAGGAGCCAGUAUCUGGUGAAUAAAACCUAGUGGAUAUUAACAUUAUCAUCUUCAUUAUCAUUAUUGCCUGUUAAAAGUUUCAUUUUCAGCGAUUCAACUGAAGCAGCCAAGUCCUCCUGAUUCCAAACAGCCUAGAGAAGUGAGAGGACAUUGUUCCCAGAAGGAGGGAGAACAUCUUCGGGUCAAGAUGACAUUUCAAAUUUAGUUCUUGAUUCAUCUCAUGUUGGGACGAGUCGCUGGGCCAUUGCUAAUGUUUCCUUUCUGGCCUUUGCCCCGGCCCUCACAGGGAACUGGUCUAACGUUUAGAAGAGACUCAGGGUGGAAGGUUUGGUUGUGAUCCAGAAACACACAGCUCCUUAAAGCCAAGUUCCCAAGACAUUGCUCAGAGACAAAGUUUCACCAAGAGUAUCACCCAAACACCACAAGACAUCUGCUGGCUGAAAGUCCAUCCACUGUCUAAAGAGAAACAGGAAAAACAUCUGAAUUCUCUUGCGUUGGUACUAGCAACAACAAGAAGAAUUGCUAGUUGUCAAGCACUAACCUGUGGAAAUAAAAACCAUUCAAAUGAGAACAAGCAAAGGCUAUUUUCUCAGAGUUUGCUAUAGCAAGGGAGUCGGCCCCCAUCAUUUGCAGUUUGGCAGAGAUCCAGGCAGGCGGAGGACUGUAAAGCUUUAUAGUGGAGAGAAGGGAAGGAUCUGGAUGCCCCCUGAGUGGAGGCUGUGGCAUGGGGAAGCUGUAGGCGGGCUAACUAGAGGUGGACGUCCUAUGUGAUUGGUUAGGGGAGCACGUUUGGCUGUCACUGGUUGGUCCUAUGUUAGAAGCGGGACAAAAAUUAGGGAAGCUGCCAGUUAUUAAUUAAUCCCUGGCCAUUUGGGGCUGAUUGCUGCAGGGGUUAUUGUUUGGCUUUCUGGGCUGGUUGCUGGAGACAGUGGUCUGACUUCCUCCAAGUCUGAUUUGGAGAUAGCAGGCUGGCCUCCUGGGCUAGUCUGUAGAUAAUGGGUUGGUUUCCUGGGCUGGUUGCUGCAGACUGUGGGUCAGAGUUCUGUUUUAAUAUGUGAUCUGGCCAUUGUCCAUUUGUAUAUUCAGGCUCUUACGCUGUAUAUGUGGUACUGUGUUCACUGCUUUACACACGUCAACUUAUUGAAUACUUCCUUCUAUACAAACAGCACACUCUCCACAAUGUUCUGCACUGCUUGUUCUCCUGCACAGUGCACGCUGAAGAUCUUUCCGUAUCAAACAUAUAUUUUAAGUGCUAUAUUUUUAAAAUAGUGGCAUAAUAUUUCAUUGGAUAGAUGUACCAUUAUUUGUUUAACCACCCCCCAAACCCAACCUUGUUGCUAUUACAAAUUAGGGUGCAACACCUAUCCUUGUGGUGAUGACAGCUUGCAUGUACGGCAAUGGAUCUGUGGGAUACAUUCCUGGAAAUGGACUGCUGGGUAAAAGGGAAGCUCUGAUCAGGGUGACCCUGGCAUCCUUCAUGGAAGUCCCCAGUCCCUUACAGGCUGGGCCUCUCUCCCAUUCACUUCUCUGCUGGUCUGACUUCCACACCUUCUGUACUGGUCUCUCCUUGUGUAACCAGAUCAACCCUGAGCUAACAUCUGUUGCCAAUCCUCCUCUUUUUGCUGAGGAAGACUGGCCCUGAGCUUACAUCCAUGCCCAUCUGCCUCUACUUUCUAUGUGGGACACCUAUCACAGCGUGGCGUGCCAAGUGAUGCCAUGUCCGCACCGGGAUCCAAACUGGUGAACCCCAGGCCGCUGAAGCGGGACAUGUGAACUUAACUGCCAUGCCACUGAGCCGGCCCCGGAACUCAGACAUUCCUGAAGCCUGAGGACCUCAGGGCAGGUUUCUUGACCAGCCUGAACUGGUUCUGGCCACAGCUGUCCACAUCAAGUUCUGGGUCCUGACAGCACUGCUUGGACCAAACACAACAAGGCUGACAGGAUGGAAACCUGAAAAUAGUAACUUUAUAGCUUCAAGAAGGAAGAAAAUCUGUGAAUGUACUGAAAGCCAUUGAGAUGUACGUCAUCAAUGGGAGAAGUGUAUGAUUUCUGAAUUAUAUCUCAAUAAAGUUGUUUUCAGAAACAUAAGGAACUCUUAUUUAAUAGGAGCCAUGGGAGUUAGACUGGCUCCUGGAAGCCUUGUCAAGAUCCUGCUUCAAGAUAUGGAAGUGUAGGGUCCAUUUCAUUUUUGGUUUGUUUUCCUGUAAGUACAUGGUUCAUAUAUGUGAAAGUUGGCAGCCCUGGGAGCAGUGGUAUCGAAGCAUUGGUGUUGGUACUAGUCUGUUAAAAAGUGGGAUGUCAUUUGUGCUCUGUGCUUUCUAGAUUGUUGGCCUUUAGCAACUUCUGAGUCAUCCCUUCCUUUUGCUCUUGGAAGCUGCCCCCAGGGACUCUGUGUCCAACCAGCAUGAUGGGAGCCCUUGAGAAGUCCCUCACAAAAUAGGUGGCUGCAUCCUGCUGGGAUGUUUAUAAUGGGGAAAUCAUUAGGAGUGACAUGACCAACAGGUGAAUGAGUUGUGCUUUCUUUAGUAAAGUGUUCACGUCCAGAGUGUUGAUUUAUGCAAAGCUAAAAGGGUCCUUAAUGUCCUUAGGCUUGUCCAAAUAUAAAG